AACGAACGCUGGCGGCAUGCCUAACACAUGCAAGUCGAACGGGAUCUUCGGGUCUAGUGGCGCGCGGGUGCGUAACGCGUGGGAAUCUGCCCUUUGGUUCGGAAUAACAGUUGGAAACGACUGCUAAUACCGGAUGAUGACGAAAGUCCAAAGAUUUAUCGCCAGAGGAUGAGCCCGCGUAGGAUUAGCUAGUUGGUGUGGUAAAGGCGCACCAAGGCGACGAUCCUUAGCUGGUCUGAGAGGGUGAUCAGCCACACUGGGACUGAGACACGGCCCAGACUCCUACGGGAGGCAGCAGUGGGGAAUAUUGGACAAUGGGCGAAAGCCUGAUCCAGCAAUGCCGCGUGAGUGAUGAAGGCCUUAGGGUUGUAAAGCUCCUUUACCCGGGAUGAUAAUGACAGUACCGGGAGAAUAAGCUCCGGCUAACUCCGUGCCAGCCGCCGCAGUAA
RNAcentral lists this ribosomal RNA (449 nucleotides) under uncultured bacterium. Its description in RNAcentral is "partial 16S ribosomal RNA". It matches the Rfam family "Bacterial small subunit ribosomal RNA", at positions 29 to 523 of the family's 1533-position model. The record is from RNAcentral.